GAAAAACGACGGUGGUAUUCAAUACAAGAAAC
RNAcentral lists this transfer RNA (32 nucleotides) under Atherina boyeri (big-scale sand smelt). RNAcentral describes it as "partial tRNA-Glu". The record is from RNAcentral. Lineage: Eukaryota; Metazoa; Chordata; Actinopteri; Atheriniformes; Atherinidae.